This 254-nucleotide unclassified non-coding RNA is filed under the name Hevea brasiliensis (rubber tree). Lineage: Eukaryota; Viridiplantae; Streptophyta; Magnoliopsida; Malpighiales; Euphorbiaceae. The record is from RNAcentral.
GGCAAGUUUCUCACAUAGACAGAUUUUGGUUCACCUUCAUCUAGUCCCAAGCCUUCCUCUGUUGCCUCAAAUCCAGAUUCCGCCACAUAAGACAAUCCAGAGUCUGAAUGCUGAGCAGGAGGUGAUGGUAUAUUAUCCCAACCUGACAUAGUUGGGGCACUCUUGAUAACUGAUGGCUGAGUAGCAACUGAUGACUGCCCCUUAGCAACUCUUAAUAUAGAAGCAUAAGUUUUCUUUGGAGGUUCUUCUACAGG